RNAcentral lists this long non-coding RNA (1193 nucleotides) under Mytilus galloprovincialis (Mediterranean mussel). Lineage: Eukaryota; Metazoa; Mollusca; Bivalvia; Mytilida; Mytilidae. The record is from RNAcentral.
AUCGGUCAACUAUAUAUGUUGUAUAGAAGCAUUGUUAGCUGUACAUGUCUGCCUGGCAUGGUUCAUCUGACCUUGACCUCAUUUUCAAGGUUCAUUGGUCUAUGUUUAGUUAUCUUGUUUAAUGUUAAGUUUAUGUGACAGUUGUUAUAAAGCUUAGCUUUAUACUUAGGACUAUCAACAUAAUAUCAAUGAUUAGUAUAGAAGGCGAGACAUUUCAGCGUGUGCACUCUUGUUUACACCACCAUUUUCUGUCGUAUAUUGGUAUCAUGUCAUCGUCUGAAGACAGAUGGUUUCCAGAUAAUAACUUUAGUAUAAGUAAAUAGAAAUCAAUAAAAAUUGAAAACAAUGUUUAAAACCAUAAAAGGAAAGUCAGGAUUGAUUUUGGGGGUUAUGGUCCCAAAGGUAUAGGAAUUAGGGGCCCAAUACAAGCAUUUAUCUAGUUUCAGGACAAUAAGUUGUGUAUAAGUAUUUCAAUUGCUCUAAAAUUGCACCACAAUGCUUAAUACCACAAGAAGAAGGUUGGGAUUGAUUAUAUGACCGCAAAAAAAAUUUGCAUCAUAUAAUGGUAUCAUGUUGUCCGAAGAUGCAUUUAGUUUCCGGAUAAUAGAAUCUGAAAUCAUACCACCCGUUUCCAUACCAUGAAGGGAUGCUUAGUAAUGAAUUUAGGGGGUUAUGAUUCAAAUGUGUUGGAAUUGGGGGCGAAAUUAGGAGCAGAAAAAGGGGAAAAACUAGGUUUUCCGGACAAUAACUAUAAUAGAUUUAGUGAAUGGAUUUCUAAAAAUUUUAACCAAAAAGUUCAAUACCACUAAAGAAAGGAUGGGAUUGAUUUUGGGGGUUAGGGUCCCAAUAGUUUAGGAAAAAGGGGGCCCAAAAUAAGCAUUUUGUAGUUUUCAAACAAUCACUUGUGUUUAAGUGGAUGAAUCUCUCUGAAAUUAUACCACAAGUUUCCAUAUCAUUAAGGGAUGGUUAGUAAUGCCUUAGUGGGUUUAUGGCUCAAAAUGUUUUGGAAUUAGGGGGAAAUUAGGGUUUUCUGGUCAAUGGACAAUUAAGACAAUUUAAUAGCAGUGAAAGGAAGGUAAUUCAAAAACUGUUAACAUACAAUGUUUGGUAUGUUCGGAUUUACCUCCCGUACACUACUUGUAAAUAAUGUAUAAAAAAAUGUCGGGUUUGGGACCUAUUGCAAAAAAGGGGGG